GAUUGAGCAUCUUGUUGUCUUGGCCACACAAAACAGUAUAUGAUCAUGGUUGUUUGCAGUUUAAUGCUCGGUCUGAGUCAAUAAAGGCGAAGGCUUCAUUUCGCCGCCUUGUCCCAAAGAAUAGGUGCCUGGUUGCUGUUGAAGGAUUUUAUGAGUGGAAAAAUGAUGGGUCAAAAAAGCAACCUUAUUACAUACAUUUUAAGGAUGGCCAGCCCCUGGUGUUUGCUGCCCUUUAUGACUCUUGGAAAAAUCCUAAAGGAGAGGUUCUUUACACAUUUACUAUAUUGACAACUUCGGUGUCCUCAUCUUUAGUAUGGCUCCAUGGUUAGUUUUCUUUUAUUGAC
Capsicum annuum is the source of this 344-nucleotide long non-coding RNA. RefSeq lists it as uncharacterized. The transcript is spliced from 3 exons. Lineage: Eukaryota; Viridiplantae; Streptophyta; Magnoliopsida; Solanales; Solanaceae. The record is from RefSeq and is a predicted model, not a curated record.